RNAcentral lists this ribosomal RNA (433 nucleotides) under Streptococcus sp. oral taxon F97. RNAcentral's name for it is "bacterial SSU rRNA". It matches the Rfam family "Bacterial small subunit ribosomal RNA", at positions 28 to 453 of the family's 1533-position model. Lineage: Bacteria; Bacillati; Bacillota; Bacilli; Lactobacillales; Streptococcaceae. The record is from RNAcentral.
GACGAACGCUGGCGGCGUGCCUAAUACAUGCAAGUAGAACGCUGAAGGAGGAGCUUGCUUCUCUGGAUGAGUUGCGAACGGGUGAGUAACGCGUAGGUAACCUGCCUGGUAGCGGGGGAUAACUAUUGGAAACGAUAGCUAAUACCGCAUGAAAUGGAUUAUCGCAUGAUAAUCGAUUGAAAGGUGCAAAUGCAUCACUACCAGAUGGACCUGCGUUGUAUUAGCUAGUUGGUGGGGUAACGGCUCACCAAGGCGACGAUACAUAGCCGACCUGAGAGGGUGAUCGGCCACACUGGGACUGAGACACGGCCCAGACUCCUACGGGAGGCAGCAGUAGGGAAUCUUCGGCAAUGGACGGAAGUCUGACCGAGCAACGCCGCGUGAGUGAAGAAGGUUUUCGGAUCGUAAAGCUCUGUUGUAAGAGAAGAACGAG